UAAGGAGGGAGCUAGCGUUGUUCGGAAUUACUGGGCGUAAAGCGCACGUAGGCGGCUUUUUAAGUCAGGGGUGAAAUCCCGGGGCUCAGCCCCGGAACUGCCCUUGAAACUGGGAAGCUAGAAUCUUGGAGAGGCGAGUGGAAUUCCGAGUGUAGAGGUGAAAUUCGUAGAUAUUCGGAAGAACACCAGUGGCGAAGGCGACUCGCUGGACAAGUAUUGACGCUGAGGUGCGAAAGCGUGGGGAGCAAACAGG
This 253-nucleotide ribosomal RNA is filed under the name uncultured bacterium. RNAcentral describes it as "partial 16S ribosomal RNA". It matches the Rfam family "Bacterial small subunit ribosomal RNA", at positions 524 to 776 of the family's 1533-position model. The record is from RNAcentral.